CAUAGAGUGGCGAACGGGUGAGUAACACGUGGGAACGUACCCUACGCAGGGGGAUAACUGACCGAAAGGACAGCUAAUACCGCAUAAGACCGAAAGGUGAAAGGUGCAACUGCACCGGCGAAGGAGCGGCCCGCGGACCAUCAGCUAGUUGGUGGGGUAAGAGCCUACCAAGGCAACGACGGAUAGCCGGCGUGAGAGCGUGGCCGGCCACAAGGACACUGAGAUACGGGUCCUACUCCUACGGGAGGCAGCAGUGCGGAAUUUUAGAUAAUGGAGGCAACUCUGAUCUAGCGACGCCGCGUGCAGGAAGAAGGUCUUCGGAUUGUAAACUGCUGUGGUAAGGGAAAAAUGCCAUGUAGAGUGGAAAGCUACAUGGAGGGAUGGUACUUUACUAGAAAGCCCCGGCUAACUACGUGCCAGC
This 421-nucleotide ribosomal RNA is filed under the name uncultured bacterium. Its description in RNAcentral is "bacterial SSU rRNA". It matches the Rfam family "Bacterial small subunit ribosomal RNA", at positions 89 to 512 of the family's 1533-position model. The record is from RNAcentral.